UUAAGUUCAGCGGGUAUUCCUACCUGAUCCGAGGUCAACCUUUGAUGAGGUUUAACGGCGCGUCCGGUCGUCCUCGCCAGCGAAUUGAUGAAACCACAACGCUGAGAUCAAACCGUCCAGCCGAUCACUUCGAGGCGCGGCAGACUGCCGUCGCCCAAUACCAAGCCAGGCUUAAGGGGUGUAAUGACGCUCGAACGGGC
Molecule: unclassified non-coding RNA, 200 nt
Filed under: Devriesia sp.
Lineage: Eukaryota; Fungi; Ascomycota; Dothideomycetes; Mycosphaerellales; Teratosphaeriaceae
Description: partial internal transcribed spacer 2
Source: RNAcentral